RNAcentral lists this unclassified non-coding RNA (240 nucleotides) under uncultured fungus. Its description in RNAcentral is "partial contains 5.8S rRNA, ITS2 and 28S rRNA". It matches the Rfam family "Eukaryotic large subunit ribosomal RNA", at positions 669 to 961 of the family's 3401-position model. The record is from RNAcentral. Lineage: Eukaryota; Fungi.
AGGAGUCUAACAUGCCCGCGAGUUCAACAUUUUAGAUGCUGAGCGCGCGAAAGAGAAAAGCAUUUCACUACUAGCAGAGCGUGUAUGUUAGGUCCCGAAAGAUGGCGAACUAUGCCUGAUCAGGGUGAAGUCAGUGGAAACUUUGGUGGAGGCUCUCAGCGGUUCUGACGUGCAAAUCGAUCGUCUAAAUUGGGUAUAGGGGCGAAAGACUAAUCGAACCAUUUAGUUGCUGGUUCUCUC